UGUUUGUUUCGAGAUAAACAUGACCGGCAGCCGCAAUUUCUCUCUUAAAAUAAUAAGUCGUUCGAUCAAGGCGGUAAAUGCGAUACGUAUCGUCCACUGGAUUCAGGUGGGCAAUGGCUACUUGAGACCCCAGUGCCCCUGGGGAAAAGACAAUGUUGUCACUAGCGCCACUCGGCAGUCGGAAGGAAAUGGCCUCUGUACUUGAACUCCAUUCCAGUCUGAUGUCUGCUCACUACUGUCUGCUCUCUGCUUUCUGCCUUCAUUCCUAGCAUUUGGUUUGACCUCGUGGUUUGGAAAUUUUGGCGUUUAAUUUUAUCACUUUAUAAGUUACGUUAAUUUUUUACGUUUUACGUUAUUUUUUUUGUAAUCAUGUUAAAUAUUUACCAAAUCUAACUUAUCAAAAGCAAAUUGUGAUCACCGGCUCGAGAGAGAAUAGUAGAAUUGGUUUCUUUGACAAAAUUUUUAGCACAGUAGAUAGAUAGAAGAUAGUAGGUAACAUACAAUACUUACUAUCUUUGACAGAUCAAAAGUAUAAUUAUUGUGAUUGAACUAAGAGACAUCUUUAUUUCCUUCUAACAUGAAUUCAAAUCUCUCCAGGUUACUUAAUGUUAAUGGACUUACAUUACACCAGGAAAAUGACAGCCAGCGUUUACAGCCGUUAUGGUACAUAAACAAUAUAGAAGCUUCUGUAGAAAAUACGCCAGAAGUCAGUCACUAGGUAGUGGGAUCAUACGAACUGCCAAGAUUUUUUCCGAGAUCUUAGUGAAUUGUGUCUGUUGUAAGUAUUUCAGAACACCUGUCAUCUGCAGCUGUAUCUUCAUUCGUGCCAUAGCGUUCUUUGCAUCAAGGUUGUUGUUCACGUUAAUGAUUCAAGUUCAUGGUUAAAAAAAGUGAAGAAAUUUCGCUGAAAAAGUCAUCUUCUGGUUUUCCGAACAACAUUAUCCUUUUGUAAUAAUCAGGAGCUCUACGCAUUUAUCAAAAAAUCCAGGAACACUUUCUACAGGAACAUGGGUGAACACCCGAAGACAGGUAUGAUUUUUAUCUCAACUCCCUUGGUAACACAUGAACUUUUCUAAUGGAAUAUAGUAGCAAAAGUAACAACAGCAGAUAGUUUACUGAUUAAUUUGUCCACUGUUUGAAUUUUUGGAAACCAUGCCUGCUGAUAAUGAAUCUCUUGCUAAUGACUUGCAAUGUGAUUUGCAGGAAAUCCUUUAGGGAACCAGAUUUAGCUCGUGGUUUUGGUCAAGUUCAGUUCUUAAUUGAAUAGAAAGCUAGUUGAUAACAUUAUUUAUAGUUUUUAUCAUUACAUUUUUUAAAGUAAUAAUGCUUUCAAAUAUUCUUUUGAAGAAUGGACAAUUGGAAAUCAGUAUGCUUGUUCUGAGAAAUUUCCGCAAGAGAUAACAUUGAUGGUAUUAUUUAUUUUUUCCCCUUUGCAGUAGGAUUCCUUCUUCAAAGGUGAUUGAUUAAUUUUGUGUCUAUUUGGGCGCUGAUCCUUAGCAACCUUACAUCACUAGCCAUAGCUAUGUUUUCCCUCUUCGAAAGUGACAUUUUGUGAAAUGAGGUCAAAUGAUUCUGUUGAUAUCUAAUCUUUUUGCAAUCAGUUUAGUUUGAAUUAGCUUGAUUUUCUAACGAUUAAUACCGUAGACGUAUGGUAGGAAUUAUAGAAUAGCCCAGCUGUUCAGUUGACAUACUUAUUCAUAAACCAUUGUGAUGCCUUUACAUUAUUUAUUUUUUAACCUCAAGGUCUAAUAUUUUUUAAUUGAUUCAAUUUGUCUUUGAACAAUUCGCCAAAUUUGGGAAAAUUCACAUUGUUAUUAUUGGGGAAUCCUGAACUCCCAUGACUGUGGGCGAUAAGGGCGAUCGACUUGCUCAGAUGGAUUGUAAGACAACCUAGUAUGAUCCAGCUGGGGGUAAGGCUAAGGUAAAUUGUCGUGAAGUUUUCGAGUUUCGUAGGUUCUAGAAAAUAAUGAUGUAGGAGGAUCGUAGCAUGGACUCUUUGGAGGAGUGUAGGGCGUUUGUGGGUGAACGGGAAAGUGGUUGGCCGCUUGUUGGGUGUAAUCUGGAUUUGGUUUAUAUUUGAGUUUAAAUGAUUCAUACUUAUCGUUGAUUUGCUGGUAAUUUUAAUAUCCUUCGUGUUCUGUUAACUGAUUCCUUGGCUCACUCGAUUUGCCCGGUGCGAAUCCUUGGAUUACCGCACUGCUUUUCGCUUUUAUUUGAAGGUUAUCAAGUCUUGCAACUGCCGUGGGCAAAGGAGCAAGAAGAAUUGAAUCCAGAAACUUCGUAAGACGUUGUUAAACAUAUAUUGUUCGUUAGUUUUCAAUUUUCACGAAGGAGCUGCGUUCGAACAGGACUUUGAUGACAGCAGAGUGACAGUUUACAUUCAGUCAUUGCCCUUUGUACAACUUUUUUCUGGCACGUAUUUCUUGCAUUCUCGUAGAAUCAGGCUUCUGUUCAUGAGGGCUACGCUGGUCAAUCGUUCUGUAAAUAAAGAGCGUAAGUCCUUCUAAUAGACCAGCAUUGAUGUGAGCAAGGAUUUGCUUAGGGACAGUGAGACAUCAGCAAAUACUACAACGGAACCAUAUCCAAAUUAUAGAACAAAACUUGUGCAGCUGUGAUACUUCCCAAACACCUAUGCAGUUUGGAAUGCUUGUCAGCAGGUUAAUGUAAAAGAUGCCAAAUGUAAGACAUGGUAACAUGGUCCUGAUAGAAUGUGUGGGCCCCCUGAUGUAGCUGGGAACAUACAAUUUUUCAUGUUGGUUACACGAAGGCAGUAAUAACUGUGCUGCAAACAAUCUGCAAAACAUGCUUGUCUGUUCAUCCCAGUGACAAGAUGGCAAAUGUAUUGAGUAAAUCGAUUGCCGGAGAAAUAGGACCCAAAAAUAGGCCAUGGAGAAAUAGGACCUCUUUUUCUGACUUUCUUUUUAGGGUCCUAUUUCUCCGCUAGAUGGGUCCUAUUUCUCCCUCCUGUUAUUAAUGGCUGCCUAUGUUUCACAGCGUUGCUAAACUAAUUUUUUUAAAUAUAAUUAACUGAAUUAUCCUAACCUAACCUACCCCGCGAAACCUUUAUAUUUUAAAAAAUUAGUUUAGCAACGCUGCUGUAGAAACAUAGGCAGCCAUUAAUGAUAGGAGGGAGAAAUAGGACCCAUCUAGCGGAGAAAAAAAGUCAGAAAAAGGGGUCCUAUUUCACCGGGUCCUAUUUCUCCAUGGCCUUUUUUUGGGUCCUAUUUCUCCGGCUACCAGUAAAUCUGACUAAGGAAGCAAAUCUGAGAAGAGCUGCUAUGAUAAAGGAAACCAUUAAAGCCUCAAAAACCACAAAAGUACAUGUGUUACCUCUACCUGGCUCCUAAUCGAUGAUGGCUUGGAAUAUAGAAAAAACAAUGCUUAGAAAAGUAAAUUUUACAGUUGCCAACCGCAAUAGUUCCGCGCUGUAAUUAAUAAAAUCUCGGUCAGUGACUCAGUGUCGCCAACGUGAUACAGUCAUUCAACUCUUUACAUCGAAUCUGUUGAGAAGGAUACCUCAGGAUGGACACUAUUACUCCAAUUGUAAAUGAAUGGACACAGGUAAAAAGUUUAGAAGAGACUUUUAUUGGAUCACCUUGCAACCUCUUACUUUCAUUUGAAAGUAAUUCAAGUAGGUCGUCCUAAUGCAAUAAUAAUUUCUGAUUAAAUUUUUAUAGUGUCUUUACAGCACUCAUGCAGCCACCAUAUAGACAUUUUAAAAACAUUUUAGAAUAUGUAAACUAUGGCACUAAGUUAAUGUCUCCAUACUUCGUAUGUUUGUCGCAUAUGAAGAAGAAUGAAAAUGGAAUGUGAUGCCUAGGUAGUAUAAUGAGGUCAGAAGAUUGACCAACAUCUAUGGAAAAAUGACUUUGCUGAUGGUAGUAUUUUGUUCCAAGAAUGUUGAAUGUGUAGUGUGAAGGUUUAUCAGAUAGUUGUACUGACACAACCUUUGUUUUCUAGAACCAGCUACAUUUAGCAGGUUUGCUUUAUUAGAGAACUGUUAAAUAUUUGAUAUUCAUAAUAUUCGCAAGGCUUUUAAGAAAAUAGUUUUCAUUGCACUAGCGACAAUUCGGAAUGGCGAGGUGCGAGUGAUUCGGAUAUAAAAUCAACGUUGAUAUGCAAUAGGUGUCGAAAAUUUUCUGAGCUGUAUAAAUUUUUUUAAUUUAAAAAAUGUUAGAUUCGCAGCUGGCAAGAAAUGACGACGAUUGGUGAUGAAACAAUUUAUUCUGACGGCUGUAAUUCAUGGACACGUCGACAUUCAUGGUAAUCAAACUUAGAACGUCUGCAAUACGAAAUUUUUGACCAUUUUAAAGGAAAGCUGCCAACAUAUUUUCAGCAUUUUAAUAAAACAAUAAGCGCGUUCAUUCCCUUCAACCAAUUGUCAACGAGAGGCCCCGUAGGAAUCUUCCAUUCCUCACUUUUAUUGUAGCUGACAGUGACUGUAAUUAUGGCUUACUUAGCCCAUGCUUAUCAAGAGCUGCCUUCUUCGUUCUCCAACCUAAAAACUCAUCUUCAAAAGCUUCCCGGUUUUUUAUGGUCGUAGAGAACAGCAGACGACGGAUUUGAGGAAGUAACAAAGCAAAUAAGAAAGGAAAAGUCUAUUGCCCCUCAAAAGUUGAGGGGUAAUAGCCAAAAAGUCUAUUGCUCCUCAAAAGUUGAGGGGCAACAGGCGUGACCAAUAAGAAAUUCGUACAUUUCGUUUGAAGUACGUACUACUCGAAUUGAACAGUUCAAAGCGGCAUUGUACCAUCGGGCAGAACCCAAAAGGUCGAUGCAUUGAAAAUGUCGGACCUCUGUUGAUGAAUUUUCACCAGCACUAUUCCACAAGACGCACGCAAAGCAAACGAUAGCGAAGGAGAUAUGGACUUGAAUUGAUUGUUUACAACCCAUGGCUUUCCCGCAUUCCAGGAUUAGUCUUGUACACCUUUUGCAUUUGUACAGAGCGUUCGGGAACGAAAGUAGUUGUGGAUUGGUUUGCUGUUGUCAAGCAAGGGAAGGAUAACCAAAGUAGACAGGAUAUCUAUUCUAAAUCCCACAAUGUCCUGGUAAUAAAUUGUAAGAAAUAUGCCAAAAGGAUUUCACCGUAUUAAGUAGGAGUAUCAGCAAAAAUUUAAUACUAACCCGUGUUUUUUUUCUUUAUUGUACACUACAAACCAUACUGAACUAGAAUAGGAUUUGGACUGAGGUUGGGUGCCAUAACAAUGGUUGAUAAUUGGAAGUGUGAUUGGAAAUAUCCAUGAUGAUGCAAAAUAUGGAAAGGAGAUUGAACUGAAACGUGAUCCAAGUUUUUGUUUUUUUCUGGGCAUCUUGAGCUGAGUUGUUUGAAUGUGAACUUUAUUUGGCAUUUUUCUAUGAGCAAGUGUGUUUUCCCAAAGGUUCUGGUGUCUGAAGUAAUAUUGGUAAAGUUAAGGUUUAAAUUCUAUAAUUUUCUAUGUGACUAAUUGAUCUGUAGCCCUGCUUAACUUGGAAAUGAGAUUGAAGGAGAGGAAGCAUUUCUCUUCUUUAAAAAACAUCUACCCAGCUGCAUGCAACCAGUGUCUUCUUGAUCACAAUGAAAUUGUUAUUAGAAACAGAUAAAGCCAAACAUCCAGUAUUAGCACAUUGGGAAAGUGUUCAACUUAAAAAAAGCUUUAAGUCAUGCAAGUAAGAAACAUUUAUUUAACACUAAUCACUUCUCAAUUGAUUCACAGUAGAGCUCUGGAAAACAAUUGUGAAGUUAUAUAUUCUUAUUGAAUUGAAACGUUUAAAGUGAUUGGAAGAGAUAGUGCGCGUGCAUUUAGUUCCAAAGCAUCUAGGUACUUCGCGUAGUUUGUCAUCUGUAAUCCGUCCCCCUCUCCAAUCUUCCUCUAUUCUUCUAUACCAUUCUAUUCCACAGUUUUGUCCUCGCUUGUGGAGAUUUAUUUAUUUGCGUAUACAUUAUUUUAAUUUAAAUGUAUUCUUUGAAACUGAUUGAAUGUUAAUGUGUUAAAAUGCAGGUAGAACGUAACGGAAUCACUCAGUCGUUUCGGCCAGUGUGGGGAAGAGUGGAGUUCAAUCUGGCCGAGAUCUAACGACUAAGCGUUAAGAAUGGAAUUAUUUGACAAAAUUUAAUACUAACUCAUGUUUUUUCUUUAAUGUAGACUACAAACUAUACUGAACAAGAAUAGGAUUUUGACUGAGGCUGGGUGCCAAAACAAUGGUUGAUAAUUGGAAGCGCGAUUGGAAAUAUCCAUGAUUUAUUAACGUUCUCUCGUGUUACGGUAUUUUAUUAAAGACAAAUUGAAGUGCA
Molecule: long non-coding RNA, 6268 nt
Filed under: Daphnia magna
Lineage: Eukaryota; Metazoa; Arthropoda; Branchiopoda; Diplostraca; Daphniidae
Description: uncharacterized LOC116925633, transcript variant X34
Source: RNAcentral